Molecule: transfer RNA, 68 nt
Filed under: Curculio davidi
Lineage: Eukaryota; Metazoa; Arthropoda; Insecta; Coleoptera; Curculionidae
Description: tRNA-Val
Source: RNAcentral
CAAAUUAAAGCUUUAUAUAAAGCAUUUUACUUACAUUAAAAAGAUUAUUGGUAUCCAAUAUAAUUUGA